AGAGUUUGAUCCUGGCUCAGGAUGAACGCUGGCGGCGUGCUUAAGACAGGCAAGUCGAACGAAGAGUUUGUAGCAAUACGGGCUCUUAGUGGCGAAUGGGUGCGUAACACGUAGGUGACCUACCCUGAAGUGGGUGAAUAACAGUUCGAAAGGACUGCUAAUACCGCAUGUGGUCCUGGAGGUUAGAGGCUCCAGGUCUAAAGCUGCUCGCAAGAGCGGCGCUUCAGGAGGGGCCUGCGGAUCAUCAGCUAGUUGGUAGGGUAAUGGCCUACCAAGGCUACGACGAUUAGGGGACCUGAGAGGGUGACCCCCCACACUGGCACUGACACACGGGCCAGACUCCUACGGGAGGCAGCCGUCGGGAAUAUUGCACAAUGAGCGAAAGCUUGAUGCAGCAACGCCGCGUGCGCGAUGAAGGUCUUCGGAUCGUAAAGCGCUUUUCGAGGGGAUGAGGAAGGACAGUACCCUCGGAAUAAGUCACGGCUAACUACGUGCCAGCAGCCGCGGUAAAACGUAGGUGGCGAGCGUUAUCCGGAUUUACUGGGCGUAAAGCGUGUUCAGGCCGUUUGGCUAGUCGGGCAUGAAAUCUCUUGGCUCAACCAGGAGAGGCUGUCCGAUACUUCCAGACUUGAGGGUAACAGAGGGCGGUGGAAUUCCGGGUGUAGUGGUAAAAUGCGUAGAUAUCCGGAGGAACACCAGUGGCGAAGGCGGCCGCCUGGGUUACCCCUGACGCUAAAACACGAAGGCUAGGGUAGAGAACGGGAUUAGAAACCCCGGUAUUCCUAGCAGUAAACGAUGUUGACUAGGUGUCGGGAGUGUAAAAGCUCUCGGUGUCGUAGCUAACGCGUUAAGUCAACCGCCUGGGGACUACGGCCGCAAGGUUAAAACUCAAAGGAAUUGACGG
Molecule: ribosomal RNA, 904 nt
Filed under: uncultured bacterium
Lineage: Bacteria
Description: bacterial SSU rRNA
Rfam family: Bacterial small subunit ribosomal RNA
Source: RNAcentral